Molecule: ribosomal RNA, 164 nt
Filed under: uncultured bacterium
Lineage: Bacteria
Description: partial 16S ribosomal RNA
Rfam family: Bacterial small subunit ribosomal RNA
Source: RNAcentral
UAGGGAAUCUUCCACAAUGGGCGCAAGCCUGAUGGAGCAACACCGCGUGAGUGAAGAAGGGUUUCGGCUCGUAAAGCUCUGUUGUUAAAGAAGAACACGUAUGAGAGUAACUGUUCAUACGUUGACGGUAUUUAACCAGAAAGUCACGGCUAACUACGUGCAAG